CAGAGAGCUAAUGCUGGCAGCUGUUGGGAUGUCCUCUUCCAGGAAUGGUGAUGAGUUUCCCUGGAUCCAGCCCUGGCUUGGCUGAGAUGAUGAAGGUUUAAGAAGCAGCAUCAUCAGCGAACUGUGUUUUGAAGAUUUGAGGGAAGGGCUGACCUCAGGAUUUUAUACUAGGAAGGCCCUAUCUCAAGUGGCUCUGGUCCAUGCAAACAGAUGGAAACGGGUGUGGGGAAGCACAGGCCUCCUACUCAUGUUAAGAGAGCUGCUCAGAGGCAGGAAUCCAGAACCAGGAAUGUCCCCAGUGGCUGCCCAAGGUACAAGUGGCAGGCAGCGGGGAGAAUGGCAUGUGAAGUCAUUUGUAACCUGGCCCCAGCUUGGUUUCCAAGUCUCAGAGGAGAUUAUGGAUAUGGUAGUGCCUGGCUCAGUGCUUAAAAUCCAUUCUCCUGCUAUUUCCCUCACCUACACUCAGCCCCACAAGCCGAGAUGUUUGCUGGACAUUUCAGGCACUGCCACCCAGUUCUGUCUACCUUACCUGCUAACACCUGUUGACCAUCCUUCAUGUGAAGGCUUCCCCAAAUACUUCCCAAUCAAAACACUAAAAGGCAGACCUGAAAUUAAUAAAAAUGUUAAUUAAAUCUGUACAACAGAAA
Molecule: long non-coding RNA, 647 nt
Organism: Homo sapiens (human)
Lineage: Eukaryota; Metazoa; Chordata; Mammalia; Primates; Hominidae
Product: long intergenic non-protein coding RNA 2028
Source: Ensembl